GACUCGGUGGCGGAUGGUGCGCGUCCACAUCAUAUCAAUUUGAAUACUGAUUGCGCAUCGACUGUGGAAGUCGCCUGUUCGAUCCAGGCCCGAGUCA
This is a non-coding RNA of Mycena leptocephala, 97 nucleotides long. Lineage: Eukaryota; Fungi; Basidiomycota; Agaricomycetes; Agaricales; Mycenaceae. The record is from the annotation of a GenBank genome assembly.